CCAUUUGGUGGGGGAUAACCACGGGAAACUGUGGCUAAUACCGCAUGACGUCGUAAGACCAAAGCAUGCCUCUACUUGUAAGCAUGCGCCGAUUGAGCGGCCUAUAUCCCAUUAGCUAGUUGGUGAGGUAAUGGCUCACCAAGGCGACGAUGGGUAGCUGGUCUGAGAGGAUGAUCAGCCACACUGGGACUGAGACACGGCCCAG
Molecule: ribosomal RNA, 205 nt
Filed under: uncultured bacterium
Lineage: Bacteria
Description: partial 16S ribosomal RNA
Rfam family: Bacterial small subunit ribosomal RNA
Source: RNAcentral